This 497-nucleotide ribosomal RNA is filed under the name uncultured bacterium. RNAcentral describes it as "partial 16S ribosomal RNA". It matches the Rfam family "Bacterial small subunit ribosomal RNA", at positions 28 to 507 of the family's 1533-position model. The record is from RNAcentral.
GAUGAACGCUGGCGGCGUGCCUAAUACAUGCAAGUCGAGCGAACGGACGAGAAGCUUGCUUCUCUGAUGUUAGCGGCGGACGGGUGAGUAACACGUGGAUAACCUACCUAUAAGACUGGGAUAACUUCGGGAAACCGGAGCUAAUACCGGAUAAUCUUUUGAACCGCAUGGUUCAAUAGUGAAAGACGGUCUUGCUGUCACUUAUAGAUGGAUCCGCGCUGCAUUAGCUAGUUGGUAAGGUAACGGCUUACCAAGGCAACGAUGCAUAGCCGACCUGAGAGGGUGAUCGCCCACACUGGAACGUAGACGCGGUCCUGGCGCCUACGGGACGCACCAGUAGCGUACCGUCCGCAAUGGGCGAAAGCCUGACGGAGCAACGCCGCGUCAGAGAUGAAGGCCCUCGGAUCGGAAAGCUCUGUUAUUAGUGAAAAACAGAUGUGUCAGUAACUGAGCACAUCUUGACGGUACCUAGUCAAGAAGCCACGGCUAACUACGUG